UCAGUUAAAUUCAAUAUUGUCACUAACAUAUGAAUAUUACAAAAUAUACUGAAUUUUAGGGGGUAAUUUAAGGAGUUUCCCAAGGUAAUUUUAAUUAUGUACCAUAAUCAGGUGGCAACUGCAGUUUCUAACUACUGCUUAAGAUGACUUUUUUUUUUUUAAAGGUUUUAUUUAUUUAUUCAUGAGAGAUACAGAGAGAGAGGCAGAGACAUAGGCAGAAGGAGAAGCAGACUCCUCGCAGGAAGCCCAAUACGGGACUCAACCCCAGGACUCCAGGACCACACCCUGAGCUGAAGGCAGACGCUCAACUGCUGAGCCAUCCAGGCGUCCCUAAGAUGACUUUUAUAACCACAUAUCAGGGGACCCAGAGCACAGAAAAGAUGGGUGUAGAUGCCAUAUUACAGAAGAUGUUGGUGCUGGGUCCUUCAGCUGGGUCAUCACUUAAUUCAUAGCCGGUUGAGUGGAUAAAAUAAUUGAACAAGCCUCUCAAGCAUGAAUCAGCUCUACAAACUUUAUCCACAUCCAAAAUCCUUGGACUCAAAUCUGUUUGAAGCUGUCAGGUUAUGAUGGUGGGGGGUGGGUAGGUUGGCAGCUCCCUCCUUCUUCCAAGGAGGUUUGGCACUUCAUCCCCCUCACCCUACCCUCCCUCUUUCCUAGUGCCCCUGUAUACUCAGUAAAUGUGUAGGGUUUGGAGGAGAUGAAGGGGCAAUUAAGAAGAAACAAGGCUCUCUUGUCCUUUGUUCUUUACCCUCUACUGCCCUGAGGUACUUAAUUACAGCUUUGAAAUUAAAAGCUAGCUUAUUUGGAUUAAUAGAAAAGGAACUGCAUGUUCAAGAUUGCCAAACUUAUGUAUUAUUCUUGAAUUCUUUCCAGAAUCCAGCCUACUCUAAAUCCUCUUUUUCCUAAUUUGUUUGAUAUAAGAUAAUAAUGGUUAUCAGAAUCAACUCCGGCAGUUGUUGAAGGGCAAUUUUUUUCUAAGCCAAUUCUAUGUGUCAGGCACCACUUUCAAAGCACUGGGGAUAGGUGGAUGAACACAACAAAAUUCUUAUCUUUGUGGAACCUAAUUCUAAUGAUGGAGAUAAGAGAUAAUCAACAAAAACAUAAUAUGACUUCAAGUAGCAUUAUGUGCUCUGAAAAGAAAUAAAGUAAUAUAAAGCAUAAGAAAUGAAGUGUGUGUGUGUGUGUGUGUGUGUGUGUGUGUGUGUGUCCUUUCUGAUGAGGUGAUAUUGGAGAAGAUUUAUUCCAUGGAAUGAGAGAGCAGGACAAGUGAUAAAUUGGGGAAAGCUCCAGAUAAAUGGUAGAGCAACUAUAAAAGCUUUGAGAGGAGCAUGUACUUGGCAGGGGGCCAGUGUGACUGAAGAAGACUUAAGGUACGAGUAAGAGGAGAAAUUAAAUCUGAAAGGUAGCCUGGGACCAGAUCAUGUAGAAUCCAAUAUGUCAUGGGUUAGAAUUUUGGGUUUUAUAUUAAAUGUGAUUGGAAUCCAUUGAAGAGUUUUUGUGGAAGAGUGACAUAAUCAGAUUUAUACUUGUAAAGGAAGUCCUUCUGGCAGAAAAAAAUUAUACCAGAUAGAAGCUUGGAUCUAUGCAAAGAAGUGAAGA
This 1599-nucleotide long non-coding RNA is filed under the name Canis lupus familiaris (dog). Its description in RNAcentral is "lncRNA (ENSCAFG00845008130.1)". The record is from RNAcentral. Lineage: Eukaryota; Metazoa; Chordata; Mammalia; Carnivora; Canidae.